CCUGGCUCAGAUUGAACGCUGGCGGCAGGCCUAACACAUGCAAGUCGAGCGGUAGCACAGAGAGCUUGCUCUCGGGUGACGAGCGGCGGACGGGUGAGUAAUGUCUGGGAAACUGCCUGAUGGAGGGGGAUAACUACUGGAAACGGUAGCUAAUACCGCAUAACGUCGCAAGACCAAAGUGGGGGACCUUCGGGCCUCAUGCCAUCAGAUGUGCCCAGAUGGGAUUAGCUAGUAGGUGGGGUAANGGCUCACCUAGGCGACGAUCCCUAGCUGGUCUGAGAGGAUGACCAGCCACACUGGAACUGAGACACGGUCCAGACUCCUACGGGAGGCAGCAGUGGGGAAUAUUGCACAAUGGGCGCAAGCCUGAUGCAGCCAUGCCGCGUGUGUGAAGAAGGCCUUCGGGUUGUAAAGCACUUUCAGCGGGGAGGAAGGCGGUGAGGUUAAUAAUUCGGGUUGUAAAGCACUUUCAGCGGGGAGGAAGGCGGUGAGGUUAAUAA
RNAcentral lists this ribosomal RNA (500 nucleotides) under Klebsiella pneumoniae. Its description in RNAcentral is "bacterial SSU rRNA". It matches the Rfam family "Bacterial small subunit ribosomal RNA", at positions 18 to 503 of the family's 1533-position model. Lineage: Bacteria; Pseudomonadati; Pseudomonadota; Gammaproteobacteria; Enterobacterales; Enterobacteriaceae. The record is from RNAcentral.